UUUUUAAGUUCUACUGAAAACAGCUUAAAAAUUGGAAUGAUAAGAAAAGAUUAGCAUGGCCCCUACACAAGGAUGACAAAUUCAUGAAGCAUUUCCUAUUUGA
Molecule: small nuclear RNA, 103 nt
Organism: Suricata suricatta (meerkat)
Lineage: Eukaryota; Metazoa; Chordata; Mammalia; Carnivora; Herpestidae
Source: Ensembl